UGUGGGAGCGAGCUUGCUCGCGAUGGCGUCGUAUCAGCCGACAUCAAUGUUGACUGUCAGGACCUCAUCGCGAGCAAGCUCGCUCCCACA
Molecule: unclassified non-coding RNA, 90 nt
Filed under: Pseudomonas jessenii
Lineage: Bacteria; Pseudomonadati; Pseudomonadota; Gammaproteobacteria; Pseudomonadales; Pseudomonadaceae
Source: RNAcentral